Molecule: ribosomal RNA, 445 nt
Filed under: uncultured bacterium
Lineage: Bacteria
Description: bacterial SSU rRNA
Rfam family: Bacterial small subunit ribosomal RNA
Source: RNAcentral
GUGAGGAAUAUUGGUCAAUGGGCGGAAGCCUGAACCAGCCAUCCCGCGUGAAGGAAGAAUGCGCUAUGCGUUGUAAACUUCUUUUCCAGGGGAAGAAAACCUCUGAUGUAUCGGAGCUUGCCGGUACCCUGGGAAUAAGCAUCGGCUAACUCCGUGCCAGCAGCCGCGGUAAUACGGAGGAUGCGAGCGUUAUCCGGAUUUAUUGGGUUUAAAGGGUGCGUAGGCGGAUAAAUAAGUCAGUGGUGAAACCCUGCAGCUUAACUGUAGACUUGCCGUUGAUACUGUUUAUCUUGAGUUUGGUCAAGGCAGGCGGAAUGUGUAAUGUAGCGGUGAAAUGCUUAGAUAUUACACAGAACACCGAUUGCGAAGGCAGCUUGCUGGGCCGGUACUGACGCUGAUGCACGAAAGCGUGGGGAUCGAACAGGAUUAGAAACCCUAGUAGUCC